RNAcentral lists this ribosomal RNA (250 nucleotides) under uncultured bacterium. RNAcentral's name for it is "partial 16S ribosomal RNA". It matches the Rfam family "Bacterial small subunit ribosomal RNA", at positions 524 to 773 of the family's 1533-position model. The record is from RNAcentral.
UACGGAGGGUGCAAGCGUUAUCCGGAAUCACUGGGUUUAAAGGGUACGUAGGCGGCUAAAUAAGUCAGAGGUGAAAGCCCGGCGCUCAACGUCGGAAUUGCCUUUGAUACUGUUUAACUUGAAUUAGGUUGAGGUGGGCGGAAUGUGGCAUGUAGCGGUGAAAUGCAUAGAUAUGCCAUAGAACACCAAUUGCGAAGGCAGCUCACUGGCCCUUAAUUGACGCUGAGGUACGAAAGCGUGGGUAGCGAAC